RNAcentral lists this long non-coding RNA (1038 nucleotides) under Marmota monax (woodchuck). The record is from RNAcentral. Lineage: Eukaryota; Metazoa; Chordata; Mammalia; Rodentia; Sciuridae.
UUGUUCAUUUAUCCUGUCAAAUAAAACAAGAUCAAAUUUUAAAAAAUAGUUUAUUAUGCAAACAGAAAUCAGUUUGCAAACUGGGAGAUCUCAAACUGAAAAUGGUAAGAGGAAACUCAGAGGCAUAGCAUCACAGGCUGGUUUAUAAAACAAAUGAGAAAAAGUUUUUGUCAUUUCUGUUUUUUGCUGUGUUGGGAAUCAGACCCAGGAUAUCACACAUUGCUAGACAAGUGCUUUCCCACUUAACUGUAACCCCAGCCCAAGAAAGUUUUUUCAAUCAUUUUUUCAAUGAUUGGGUAUUACCAGAUGGCAGAAGAUUGGUUAAAAGUGAUUUUAUUAUACAUUGUUGAAAGACAACUUAAGUUUCAUUUAUGAUUAUCAGAGCCAUUUACAAGAAACAACCUAAGUAAUGUUUUGUUUAGGAAGUCAAACGGGUCUUCUCCAGGGAUUCUCAAGCCUGAUCUCCAUUAUACUUUGCUAUAGCUACCCAUUCAUUCAUUGUGUCUUUUAGAUUUAGAAAUGAAUACCUGCACCUUCCAGUAAGGUAAAACAUGUAACAACACUUGUGACCCACUAUUCUCUUAAGUGCACUAACAAAUCUCUAGUGAGUUCCCUGUAAUAUCCUUCAGGUCACUAAGGAGCUGGCAGGGUAGCACUAGUAGGAUAGAUUCUCCAACAGCCCCAGAGUCACAGAGAAAAGGUAGGUGCUAGUUGUCCACAUACUUCAAACCAGACCUCUGCAUGUGCACUAUUAAUUUGUCUGAAUACUAGUGUCAACAUUUCUGAAAUCUCAGACCUUUUUCUACCCAAGUUUUUAUUGCUUUGAGAAUCUGCUGAAGUCCCAGGGACAGUCAUGUAAGAACUACUGUGAAUAUAGAAUAUUUUAUGACAGUUAUGAAAAUUAAUUGAUCCUCAAAACAUUAGGUUUAUAAUUUCUCCUCAAAAUUGUCAUAUUUUUAAAUGCUCUUUUAAACAGUAGCCAAUAACUUCAACUUAUUUAUACUGAUUUUUAGAUAGUAUUGAAUGAUGCCCCUUCUU